Molecule: long non-coding RNA, 2971 nt
Organism: Triticum aestivum (bread wheat)
Lineage: Eukaryota; Viridiplantae; Streptophyta; Magnoliopsida; Poales; Poaceae
Exons: 3
Source: RefSeq, a predicted model, not a curated record
GUGAGGUAUGGCCUGAUCUCAUCGAGUACCUGCCAUUGGGUGAAAGGAAGUAAUUUUCAAAUAUGUACCUUUAGUUGCUCCAGCUACUGGUUUUCGCCCAUAUUAUGGAAAGGGCAAAUAAAUGUUAGAUAAAUCGUCUCAAGGUGUAGGACAAUGUGCAACAAGGAGACAUUGUAUAAUGUCUAACAAUUACUUGCACUAUUAUAUUUAUUUGGAAUUGUAGAUGUUGAUAAUUUUUAAUAUAAAUUUAGUCAAAGUUUACAACGUUUUUACUUAAGAGAAACCUAAUACGCAGAGUAAAAGGAAACGGAGGGAGUACAUGUUCUGCAUUCUGUAUUGGAAUGUCAUUCUAAGCAAGAAUGAACGACAAACCAACCACAUGGAACAGUCAUCAAUGUGCCACAAAAUUAAACGGACAAAUCGCAGAUCCUCUUAUCAAAAGAAGAUGGACGGCGAUACCGUCCAUGGCAGGAAGGUUGUUGCUCCGGUAUAUAGUCCCCACACCCCAGAAUGGUAUGUGAAAUUAAAGACAACACACUAUAUGCUGUUGCAUAAAAAGAAGAACCGGAACACUAGCAUUCUAUUUGAAGAUAACAACCUAGUUUUAUCUACUAUCUACUACCACUAUAAAAGAGAGAGAGGGCGGAGAAUCAAAUCAUCCUAUCCAUCGAACCCUGUAAUCUAAUGGUCUACAUCACUCCAACAUACUAAACGUAUUUUACGCUUUAAUUACCCAUCAUGCCAUUACCCUAUCUACUCGCUAACCAAACCCGGUACCCCACAGCUCGCCCCUCUCUCGCAUGUCUCUCUCGCACGCCCGCUCGACCACGCCUCUCUCCCGCACACCUCUCUCCCGCACACCUCUCUCUCUCGCCUAACCAACCUCUCGACCAUGCCCUGCCGCCGCUCCAACCUCUCGGCCCCGCCGCCGCCCCUUCUCGGCCUCGCCGCCGCCCCUUCACGCCGGCGGCCACGGCCCCGACGGGCGCAGCAGCACACCCCCGAUGGUCGAGCGGCACCUCCGCCGCAGGGGGGCCGGGCCGCAGCAGCACGCCCACUCCGCUCCAACCUCUCGGCCCUGCCGCCGCUCACCCCGCCGCCGCCCCUUCUCGGCCUCGCCGCCGCCCCUUCACGCCGGCUCACAGCCUGAACGGAGCCCCAGUUGGCUCGCCCUUGCUCUCCACCUGUGGCGCCGGUGGCGUGUGCGCAACGGAUGAGGCCCCGCACUCGCGCCGCGGCAGUGCGGAUGGAGCUCCGCCGAGUCCAUGAGCUCCCGAGCCGGGCGACGGCGCGUAUUGAUCUGAAAAAGGCCACCAACCCAUAUUAUAAUAUCCUUUGAUAUCAAGUUCUAGCUGUACAUUAACCAAAGCAUCUCUUUUCUGAUCAGUUAUACAUCAAUCAAAGCAUCACUUUUCUGAUCAAUUAAGGAAAACAUGUCAGGAUGGUUGAUGCUUGAUGCAACGGGAGUCACAUGUGUAUUGCCGACAGUUUCAAUUUAAUCGGGCUUCCGACUGGAGGAACAGAAGCGACUCUCUAUUCUCCAGCCAUUAAGUUCAUUACUGAAUAACAAAAUCAGCUUCAGACCUAAGGUUUGAUCAGGAAAAUUCAGCUAGGUCUAUCUAUGUACAUUGGUCUUAAUUUUUUUAGAUGAGCAAACUGUCUACUUCCAUAGGAAGUGGAUGGGAUGAUCUACAUGGCCUCCUGCAGCACCGGAUUCAAGGAAUCAGUACAACAGUGUGGCCUCUUACUAGACAGUUUUCUUCUCUCUGUUUUCAAGAAUGCUAGACACUUUUCAGUUUUCUUUGAUGUUGAUCAAAAUAUUUAAAUAUUUGGAUGCGUUUUCUUGAAUACAGGUCUGAUCUUUGAUUAUCUGCAUAGUAUAUCUAACCACUCUGACUUUCCUUUAUUAUCAAGAUGCAUCAAACCGCCAUCCCCUCCGAGAGGAAGGCCAACUCAAGUAGCAUCCAUGUACAAGAAUUUCUGUAAUGUAGUUAUGUGAACUAGAGGUGUGGUUUAGCAAUGUACCUCAUACACUGCUGGUUGAUGACAAAGAUAUGUCAGGUUUGCCUUGAUUAUAUUAUAAAUUACUCAAAUCUUUUUAGAAACAGGAAAGGUAAGUUUAAAUUGCAUAAAACAGGAAAGCGAACGAGUAGUUUGUAGUGUUGAAAUAAAAUCAGAACUUAAAACAUAUGGGUUUUACAAGCAUCACUGCUUGAACAUGCAAAAGAUAAAUAACAGCUAAAGUUUCAUGGACUACACCAGUUUCCACAGCUAAAAUGUCUACCAUUGUUGAAUCUCUAUUUCUGUGGAGUAGCAUGUUUUGGGGCAUACUUACUUACAUACUUUGUUCCUUUAGAGUAAUAUAAUCUUCUCGAGGUGUUAAUUCACUUAUUUUUCACACAUGAUGAAUCCAUAGUUGUUCGAUUUAGCCAGAAUAAUCUCUUCUUUGUUAAUAAUAGUUUUAUAUAACAUUACUUAUAUCAGGUCAAGUAGCCUCUCAUAAUGAAAUACAGCAUUUUUUUGUCGAUCUCUCUUGAAAUGAUUGUUUACAGAUAAAAUUAUUUGUAGAGAUGGAGGACCUCGUAACCGACCAUGUUGGGAGCUUGUGAAGAAAUAGUAUGUUGCUGUAUGGAGGAAUCCUUUAAAUAACUCAUGCUAUUUUCGUUUCAGAUGCAACCUUCAACUACAGAAGUUUCAGUUUCCUGAUUGCCGGUUUCUUCUUUGCGAGUCUUCCUUUUUCUUAUGUUCACAAGGUGUACCAUUGUCUAUAGUAUUUGCCAAGUUUAAUCGAAUGUCUAGAUAAAAUGUUUUGCAUGGCAGGAAAUAAGCAAGUAGGUAUUUGAAGGUGAACUUUGUAUGAAUCCUCCGGCUCCCGCCUACCCAUUCUUCAAUGAGUUAGUAUCCUCAAGUCACGAUGUAUCAAUUUUGCCAUGCAAGACGUUAUGAUAAAAUAGAGGAUGUAGAAUGACCA